GACGAACGCUGGCGGCGUGCUUAACACAUGCAAGUCGAACGGAAAGGCCCUGCUAUUGUGCGCUUCUCGAGUGGCGAACGGGGGAGUAACACGUAAGUAACCUGCCCUUGUCUUUGGGGUAACUUCAGGAAACUGGGGCUACUACCGGAUAGCAGCUCCUCCUCCAUGGUGGGCAUUGGAACGUUUCGGCGGGUGGGGAUGGACUCGCGGCUUAUCAGCUUGUUGGUGGGGUAGUGGCUUACCAAGGCAUUGACGGGUACCCGGCCUGUGAGGGUGACCGGCCACAUUGGGCCUGAGAUACGGCGCAGACUCGAACGGGAGGCAGCAGGGGGGAGUAUGGUACAACGGUAGGGCGUGUGAGGAAGCAACGCUGGGUGCGGGAUGCCGGCUUUCGGGGUGUAAACCGCUGUAGCCUGUGACGAAGCGUGUGUGACGGUAAUGGGUAAAGAAGCACCGGCUAACUACGUG
RNAcentral lists this ribosomal RNA (468 nucleotides) under uncultured bacterium. RNAcentral describes it as "partial 16S ribosomal RNA". It matches the Rfam family "Bacterial small subunit ribosomal RNA", at positions 28 to 507 of the family's 1533-position model. The record is from RNAcentral.